GCGCUAGCUUCGGUGGAGGCGCUGGUGGGAUACCGCCCUGACUGUAUUGAAAUUCUAACCUACGGGUCUUAUCGACCCGGGAGACAGUGUCAGGUGGGCAGUUUGACUGGGGCGGUCGCCUCCUAAAGUGUAACGGAGGCGCCCAAAGGUUCCCUCAGAAUGGUUGGAAAUCAUUCGUAGAGUGCAAAGGCAUAAGGGAGCUUGACUGCGAGACCUACAAGUCGAGCAGGGACGAAAGUCGGGCUUAGUGAUCCGGUGGUUCCGCAUGGAAGGGCCAUCGCUCAACGGAUAAAAGCUACCCCGGGGAUAACAGGCUUAUCUCCCCCAAGAGUCCACAUCGACGGGGAGGUUUGGCACCUCGAUGUCGGCUCAUCGCAUCCUGGGGCUGUAGUCGGUCCCAAGGGUUGGGCUGUUCGCCCAUUAAAGCGGUACGCGAGCUGGGUUCAGAACGUCGUGAGACAGUUCGGUCCCUAUCCGUCGUGGGCGUAGGAAAUUUGAGAGGAGCUGUCCUUAGUACGAGAGGACCGGGAUGGACGCACCGCUGGUGUACCAGUUGUUCUGCCAAGGGCAUAGCUGGGUAGCUAUGUGCGGAAGGGAUAAGUGCUGAAAGCAUCUAAGCAUGAAGCCCCCCUCAAGAUGAGAUUUCCCAU
This 650-nucleotide ribosomal RNA is filed under the name Salmonella enterica subsp. enterica serovar Derby. RNAcentral describes it as "partial 23S ribosomal RNA". It matches the Rfam family "Bacterial large subunit ribosomal RNA", at positions 2168 to 2817 of the family's 2925-position model. Lineage: Bacteria; Pseudomonadati; Pseudomonadota; Gammaproteobacteria; Enterobacterales; Enterobacteriaceae. The record is from RNAcentral.